This 449-nucleotide ribosomal RNA is filed under the name uncultured bacterium. Its description in RNAcentral is "partial 16S ribosomal RNA". It matches the Rfam family "Bacterial small subunit ribosomal RNA", at positions 329 to 793 of the family's 1533-position model. The record is from RNAcentral.
GCCCAGACUCCUACGGGAGGCAGCAGUGGGGAAUAUUGGGCAAUGGGCGCAAGCCUGACCCAGCAACGCCGCGUGAAGGAAGAAGGCUUUCGGGUUGUAAACUUCUUUUCUCAGGGACGAAGCAAGUGACGGUACCUGAGGAAUAAGCCACGGCUAACUACGUGCCAGCAGCCGCGGUAAUACGGAGGAUGCGAGCGUUAUCCGGAUUUAUUGGGUUUAAAGGGUGCGCAGGCGGCACGGCAAGCCGGCGGUGAAGUCGCGGGGCCCAACCCCGCUCAGCCGUCGGAACUGCCGGGCUAGAGUGGGCGAGAAGUGCGCGGAAUGCGUGGUGUAGCGGUGAAAUGCAUAGAUAUCACGCAGAACUCCGAUUGCGAAGGCAGCGCACCGGCGCCCUACUGACGCUCAGGCACGAAAGCGUGGGUAUCGAACAGGAUUAGAUACCCCUGUAA